Molecule: ribosomal RNA, 506 nt
Filed under: uncultured bacterium
Lineage: Bacteria
Description: partial 16S ribosomal RNA
Rfam family: Bacterial small subunit ribosomal RNA
Source: RNAcentral
AGUGAACGCUGGCGGUAGGCCUAACACAUGCAAGUCGAACGGCAGCACAGAGGAGCUUGCUCCUUGGGUGGCGAGUGGCGGACGGGUGAGGAAUACAUCGGAAUCUACUCUGUCGUGGGGGAUAACGUAGGGAAACUUACGCUAAUACCGCAUACGACCUACGGGUGAAAGCAGGGGAUCUUCGGACCUUGCGCGAUUGAAUGAGCCGAUGUCGGAUUAGCUAGUUGGCGGGGUAAGGGCCCACCAAGGCGACGAUCCGUAGCUGGUCUGAGAGGAUGAUCAGCCACACUGGAACUGAGACACGGUCCAGACUCCUACGGGAGGCAGCAGUGGGGAAUAUUGGACAAUGGGCGCAAGCCUGAUCCAGCCAUACCGCGUGGGUGAAGAAGGCCUUCGGGUUGUAAAGCCCUUUUGUUGGGAAAGAAAUCCAUCUGGUUAAUACCCGGGUGGGAUGACGGUACCCAAAGAAUAAGCACCGGCUAACUUCGUGCCAGCAGCCGCAGUAA